CCGCACAAGCGGCGGAGCAUGCGGAUUAAUUCGAUGCAACGCGAAGAACCUUACCAAGGCUUGACAUACACCGGUAACGCCCAGAGAUGGGUGCCCCUUUGUGGUCGGUGGACAGGUGGUGCAUGGUUGUCGUCAGCUCGUGUCGUGAGAUGUUGGGUUAAGUCCCGCAACGAGCGCAACCCUCGUCCUAUGUUGCCAGCGGGUCAUGCCGGGGACUCAUGGGAGACUGCCGGGGUCAACUCGGAGGAAGGUGGGGAUGACGUCAAAUCAUCAUGCCCCUUAUGUCUUGGGCUUCACGCACGCUACAAUGGCCGGUACAAAGGGCUGCGAUACCGCGAGGUGGAGCGAAUCCCAGAAAGCCGGUCUCAGUUCGGAUUGGGGUCUGCAACUCGACCCCAUGAAGUCGGAGUCGCUAGUAAUCGCAGAUCAGCAUGCUGCGGUGAAUACGUUCCCGGGUCUU
RNAcentral lists this ribosomal RNA (460 nucleotides) under uncultured Cellulomonas sp. RNAcentral describes it as "bacterial SSU rRNA". It matches the Rfam family "Bacterial small subunit ribosomal RNA", at positions 921 to 1382 of the family's 1533-position model. Lineage: Bacteria; Bacillati; Actinomycetota; Actinomycetes; Micrococcales; Cellulomonadaceae. The record is from RNAcentral.